Molecule: long non-coding RNA, 209 nt
Filed under: Gossypium raimondii (Peruvian cotton)
Lineage: Eukaryota; Viridiplantae; Streptophyta; Magnoliopsida; Malvales; Malvaceae
Description: long non-coding RNA (GRAI_LNC000052)
Source: RNAcentral
UUUUUCCCUUAUGACCUUAUUUAAUGAACCCCAUGAUUGAUCAUGAAGCAAGAUAAAAAAAAAAAAAAGAAGAAAAGAAACAAAGGAAAAAGACAAAAAGCUUACAAAAGUUGCAAAUCACAAUAAUGCAACAAAAAUACUUUCCAAGAUAAAUAAAAGAUAUUGAUGGAUGAAUCCCGAAAGACAAUGAGAAAAGCACCAAAAAAGAC